This 690-nucleotide ribosomal RNA is filed under the name Pseudomonas lini. RNAcentral describes it as "bacterial SSU rRNA". It matches the Rfam family "Bacterial small subunit ribosomal RNA", at positions 50 to 738 of the family's 1533-position model. Lineage: Bacteria; Pseudomonadati; Pseudomonadota; Gammaproteobacteria; Pseudomonadales; Pseudomonadaceae. The record is from RNAcentral.
GCCACCUGCAGUCGAGCGGUAGAGAGUGCUUGCACCUCUUGAGAGCGGCGGACGGGUGAGUAAUGCCUAGGAAUCUGCCUGGUAGUGGGGGAUAACGCUCGGAAACGGACGCUAAUACCGCAUACGUCCUACGGGAGAAAGCAGGGGACCUUCGGGCCUUGCGCUAUCAGAUGAGCCUAGGUCGGAUUAGCUAGUUGGUGAGGUAAUGGCUCACCAAGGCGACGAUCCGUAACUGGUCUGAGAGGAUGAUCAGUCACACUGGAACUGAGACACGGUCCAGACUCCUACGGGAGGCAGCAGUGGGGAAUAUUGGACAAUGGGCGAAAGCCUGAUCCAGCCAUGCCGCGUGUGUGAAGAAGGUCUUCGGAUUGUAAAGCACUUUAAGUUGGGAGGAAGGGCCAUUACCUAAUACGUGAUGGUUUUGACGUUACCGACAGAAUAAGCACCGGCUAACUCUGUGCCAGCAGCCGCGGUAAUACAGAGGGUGCAAGCGUUAAUCGGAAUUACUGGGCGUAAAGCGCGCGUAGGUGGUUCGUUAAGUUGGAUGUGAAAGCCCCGGGCUUAACCUGGGAACUGCAUUCAAAACUGACGAGCUAGAGUAUGGUAGAGGGUGGUGGAAUUUCCUGUGUAGCGGUGAAAUGCGUAGAUAUAGGAAGGACACCAGUGGCGAAGGCGACCACCUGUACGCGC